RNAcentral lists this ribosomal RNA (1106 nucleotides) under Microbacterium sp. RNAcentral's name for it is "bacterial SSU rRNA". It matches the Rfam family "Bacterial small subunit ribosomal RNA", at positions 50 to 1175 of the family's 1533-position model. The record is from RNAcentral. Lineage: Bacteria; Bacillati; Actinomycetota; Actinomycetes; Micrococcales; Microbacteriaceae.
GCUACCUGCAGUCGACGGUGAGCCAGCUUGCUUGGUGGAUCAGUGGCGAACGGGUGAGUAACACGUGAGCAACCUGCCCUGGACUCUGGGAUAAGCGCUGGAAACGGCGUCUAAUACUGGAUAUGAGCCCCUAUCGCAUGGUGGGGGUUGGAAAGAUUUUUUGGUCUGGGAUGGGCUCGCGGCCUAUCAGCUUGUUGGUGAGGUAAUGGCUCACCAAGGCGUCGACGGGUAGCCGGCCUGAGAGGGUGACCGGCCACACUGGGACUGAGACACGGCCCAGACUCCUACGGGAGGCAGCAGUGGGGAAUAUUGCACAAUGGGCGAAAGCCUGAUGCAGCAACGCCGCGUGAGGGAUGACGGCCUUCGGGUUGUAAACCUCUUUUAGCAGGGAAGAAGCGAAAGUGACGGUACCUGCAGAAAAAGCGCCGGCUAACUACGUGCCAGCAGCCGCGGUAAUACGUAGGGCGCAAGCGUUAUCCGGAAUUAUUGGGCGUAAAGAGCUCGUAGGCGGUUUGUCGCGUCUGCUGUGAAAUCCCGAGGCUCAACCUCGGGCCUGCAGUGGGUACGGGCAGACUAGAGUGCGGUAGGGGAGAUUGGAAUUCCUGGUGUAGCGGUGGAAUGCGCAGAUAUCAGGAGGAACACCGAUGGCGAAGGCAGAUCUCUGGGCCGUAACUGACGCUGAGGAGCGAAAGGGUGGGGAGCAAACAGGCUUAGAUACCCUGGUAGUCCACCCCGUAAACGUUGGGAACUAGUUGUGGGGACCAUUCCACGGUUUCCGUGACGCAGCUAACGCAUUAAGUUCCCCGCCUGGGGAGUACGGCCGCAAGGCUAAAACUCAAAGGAAUUGACGGGGACCCGCACAAGCGGCGGAGCAUGCGGAUUAAUUCGAUGCAACGCGAAGAACCUUACCAAGGCUUGACAUAUACGAGAACGGGCCAGAAAUGGUCAACUCUUUGGACACUCGUAAACAGGUGGUGCAUGGUUGUCGUCAGCUCGGGCCGUGAAAUGUUGGGUUAAGUCCGGCAACGAGCGCAACCCUCGUUCAUUGUUGCCAGACCGAAUGGGGGGAACUCUGGGAAACUGCCGGGGUCACCCCGAGGAAGGGG